RNA transcript from Zea mays, 1913 nucleotides. RefSeq lists it as uncharacterized. NCBI's taxonomy places the organism in Eukaryota, Viridiplantae, Streptophyta, Magnoliopsida, Poales, Poaceae. The record is from RefSeq and is marked provisional. The transcript is spliced from 13 exons.
ACCCCCAGUCCCCACCACAGCAUCUACGGCGCUGUACAGCAUUAAGGUCGGGCGGUCGGGCUCGGGCCAUUACCACUCCUCCAUACAGCAGGAACGGCAGCGGUCGAAUGGCGCCCCGGCCGGCCGGCCCCAACGAAAACAGCCGGGCACGCAAAAGGGACGAAGGCACGAAAGACGCGGCCGCCACCGGCGGUCGGCGUAGAAACCAAAGGCACGAAGGGACACUGCGUGGGGAGGGGAAGGGCGGAGAGCGCCAGCCACGCGGUGGGGGGAAAACCCGAAAAGAGAAAGGGCUGUGUACCUUUCGCUUUGUUGCCUGGCUCUGGUAUUGGGUUCCCCGUUCUGCUGCUCAGCUCAGCCCAGCCCCAGAGCCCCUGACCUGCCGUCCUCCCUCCUUCCCUCCCCGUGAGUCGCCGUACGGCGGUACGGGAUCGCCACCGCGGCGUCCAGGGAUGGCGGACGGGAGCCUCUACGCCUGGUGGUGCUGUGCCUUGGGCUGGGCGCUGGCGCUUGUCGCAGCGGACGGCUUCCUCGUGGACAUCACCUAUGUGGAAAGCGCCGUGGCCAAAGGAGCAGUGUGUUUGGAUGGUAGUGCGCCGGCGUACCAUCUCGCCCGCGGCUCCGGCUCCGGUGAGAACAGCUGGCUGGUCCAUUUCGAGGGGGGAGGAUGGUGCAACAAUGUCACCACCUGCCUGCAACGGAAGCGCACUCGGUUGGGUUCGUCCAAGGAGAUGGCGACGCAGAUUGCCUUCUCCGGAAUCCUGAGUGACACGCCGGAUGACAACCCAGAUUUUUACAAUUGGAACAAGGUCAAGGUUCGGUACUGUGAUGGUUCAUCUUUCACUGGAGAUGUUGAAGAAGUUGACCCUGCAACAAAGCUACAUUAUAGAGGUGCCAGGAUAUGGCAAGCUGUCAUGGACGACCUGCUUGCCAAAGGGAUGGACAAAGCUGAAAAUGCUCUAAUUUCAGGCUGUUCUGCUGGUGGUUUAACCUCCAUACUACACUGUGACAGAUUUCAUGACCUUCUGCCGCCGGCUGCGAGGGUUAAGUGCCUUUCUGAUGCUGGGUUCUUCAUUAAUGAGAAAGACGUUGCAGGAGUUGGGUACAUUGCUGCCUUUUUCAACGACGUCGUUACAACACAUGGGUCAGCAAAGAAUUUGCCGCCUUCAUGCACUUCGACGUUACCUCCAGGAACGUGCUUUUUCCCCCAGAACGAGGUGAAACAGAUACAGACACCUCUGUUCAUCCUCAACGCAGCAUAUGAUUCAUGGCAGGUAAGGAACAUUUUGGUGCCAGGAGUAGCUGACCCUCAUGGAAAAUGGCAUAGCUGUAAGCAUGAUAUAGACCAGUGCUCUGCAUCGCAGCUACGGGAUUCAGGGGUGAUUUUCUGAAGGAAGUGGCAGAACUAGGGAACUCCGACUCGAGAGGGUUGUUCAUAAACUCAUGCUUCGUGCACUGCCAGUCUGAGAUACAGGAGCUAUGGUUCUCAUCUGACUCCCCCGUGCUCGGAAACACAACAGUAGCAAACGCUGUUGGCGACUGGUUCUUCGACCGCAGCUCCUUCCAGAAGAUAGACUGCCCAUACCCUUGUGACUCGACCUGUCACAAUCGGAUCUACGAUGACUCAUCACAAGCAUAGCAAUUACAGUGGCCUCACUUCGUACUGCCAUUCACCAUGUUAUUACAUUUGACGCUUCCAGCAUUGCUAACAGUAGGGCAAUGCGUUGAUAGCCAUUGAUUUUUUUUUUCUUUUUACGAAUAAGAUCAGGUGCCGGCGGCUUUAACUCGGUUGCUACCGGAAAGUGAGCGUGCAUCUUCCGACGGUACAUGGCAUGGUUUAUCUGGAUGGAUGAAUCGAUAAUCAUAAAUUCUUAAAAACACAAUAAAUAUUCUAGAAUUUUUAUGUUGUGCAA